CAGUAGCCACGGUAAUACGUAGGGUGCGAGCGUUAAUCGGAAUUACUGGGCGUAAAGCGUGCGCAGGCGGUUCGGAAGGAGAGAUGUGAAAUCCCAGGGCUUAACCUUGGAACUGCAUUUUUAACUACCGGACUAGAAUGUGUCAGAGGGAGGUGGAAUUCCGCGUGUAGCAGUGAAAUGCGUAGAGAUGCGGAGGAACACCGAUGGCGAAGGCAGCCUCCUGGGAUAACACUGACGCUCAUGCACGAAAGCGUGGGGAGCAAACAGGAUUAGAUACCCGCGUAGUCCCUGUCUCUUAUAC
RNAcentral lists this ribosomal RNA (301 nucleotides) under uncultured bacterium. RNAcentral's name for it is "partial 16S ribosomal RNA". It matches the Rfam family "Bacterial small subunit ribosomal RNA", at positions 509 to 807 of the family's 1533-position model. The record is from RNAcentral.